Molecule: long non-coding RNA, 18560 nt
Filed under: Eutrema salsugineum
Lineage: Eukaryota; Viridiplantae; Streptophyta; Magnoliopsida; Brassicales; Brassicaceae
Description: long non-coding RNA (ESAL_LNC000110)
Source: RNAcentral
UUCCGAUCUGUUCACUACACUACAAGAAAGAAGACCUUUUAUAUUGGAAGAUAUCGACGUAAAAUCGACGUAAUGGGCCAUUUACGUCAAAUUAGUGACGAAUGAAAAAUUAUCGUAAAACAAUCAUCGUAAAAGAGAAAUCGUCGUAAAAUCUUCGUAAAUUACCAACACAAUAAAAUCGUCAGAAACAAUUCGUCGCAAAAACGACGUAAACGUUCCAACGAAAGUACGACGAAUUAAUUUUAACACAACAACGACGUAAAAUCGAUGUAAAAUUACAUCGGAUUUACAACAAUUUCGAGACGAUCUAUUUCGCAAAAGUCAAAUAAAUUUAUUAUAGAUCGACGUAAAAUCGUCGUAAUAUAUCGACGUAAAGUCGACAAAAAGUAUAUGGACGUUUUAAAAUAUUUGCCUUUAAUUAGACGUAAAUUUACGACGAGUUUACGUCGAAUUAGAAAAAUAAUUAUUAAAAUUGGAUUUUAAUUUAAUUAUUGAAUUUUUAAAAUAAUCAAAUAAAGGAAAAUUUAAAUUUAAAUUCGAAAAUAAUUCAUAAAUUAAAAUACAAAAUUAAAUACAAUUUAAAAAAAAUAAAAACUAAUCUACACAGUAAAUUCAUAAUCGUCGAGGUUGAGAUCGACGUCUCGAGGAGGCUCUCCGUCAUGUCCGUCCGUCGCUGUUGUACCAUCGUUUCCCGUCUGCACUACGGGAUCCGAAGUCUGACCCUGCGUCUGCUGGUCAGAAGGUCCACCCGCAAUAAUCCUGUGUGCUCGCCGUUGCCUCUCUCGAAAGUGGAUCGUGAAUAUUUCUAAUCCGUUUUUGAAGUCUUCAGUCAAUGACCCAUCAACAUUUUUGGGCGUAUACAUCCACUUUCGUAGAUCGUAUAUAGACAUUUAAAAACAAAUAAAUGACUUUUUGUUUUUGAAUUUUGAUAUAAAUUUCAACUACUAAAAAUUUUACUCAAACAUUCAAAGACUCAAAAAAUUGUGUCUUUAUAUGUUUUUUUGGUUGAUGGAAUAAUGAGAGAAGAAAUGGUAUAUAUAGAUUUUUUGUUUGGUUACCAACAUAUUGCCAUUGAAUAUUAACAUCAAAUUUACGUCGAAAUAAAAUUUACAUUAUAUUUACAUCGAUAUUACGUCAACUACAAGAUGGAGGCCAAUUCAUCGUAUUAUCGAUGUAAAAUUUACGACAAUGUUACGACGAAAUGUAAUUCGUUCUUUAUUCGUCAUAAUGUUGUCGUAAGUUUAUGACGAUUUUACGAGAAUACUAUUUUAUAUCGAAACGACGAAAUAUUUUGACGUCGUACGUAAUUUCGUCGUAAAUUUACUACGACCAUAAAUCGACGUAAAAAAUUCGUUGGAAAUGUCCCUCUUUCUUGUACUAUACAAGGAUUCAUAAAUAAUGAAGCUGUUUUGUUCGGUGAGUGCAUUAAUGUGAGUUAUACAAAAUUUACAUUGGUUACAAAAUUAGGAGACCAUCUCCAUCGGUUUGUUAGGUAAUUUAGAUAAUAAUAAAAAUUAAGAAAUGAUUAAAAAGUUAACAAUUCGGGUUGUUAGGUUGUUGUGGAAGAACCCAGGAAUAUAUAAAAACGUGGCACCAUGUCAUUGGUGGAAGAUUUUUUAUGUGUGUGGGCUAAAAAUCAGGAAUAAGCCCACAUAAAAAUUCUUAAUUUUUUUAAUUAAAAAUUCAUAAUUAAAAAAAUUUUAAGAAACCCAAUCCCAGGUUUAGGGAUGGAGAUGUUUUGCGUGAGUACAUUUUCUCUUUCUUAUAUAAAGUGGAUCCACCAUAACUCCUAAACUAAAUGAGACACACGAUGAGGCCGCAUACAGUGUGGAGAAGGUACACAAAUUCCGCAUUAUCGUUAUAAAAGCUAUGCGAAGUCUUUAAAAAUUAUCUACCGUUCUAAUAACUAACUAAAGUAAUCACGAGAAAUAGUAGUUGGAUAACAAGAUUUUUUUUGUCUUUCUGCUAAGGGCGAAAAAAGUAAUGUAACCUGAGCUCUUUUGCAUCUCUUCUCCGGCGAUGCCGACAGCGUCGGUCUCAUCCUCUUCUCCUCAUGGGGUAGAAAAAACAACCCAAAAAAUCUCCACCAUCCAAACCCUUGUGCCCUCCUCUGCCGCAGGUGAAAUAACCUUCACCAUCUUUGUUUUCACUCAAUGAAGCCGCAAAUCCCUUUGCUCACUCAGUGGCGGGGGAUCCUUCGUCUCUAGCACAGCAAAUCCUUACUGAUUCUGAUUCUCUAGCCUCGACUGACAGCAACUCUCGCUCAGAUCCAAUUGUGAUAGUUCCUGCAACAGUCCAAGCCCCCAAAUAUCAUUUAUGUAAAAGUUGUUGAGACAACAGAUCCAGAACUGAAGAACUCAUCAGUAGAGGCACCAAUUGUCCCGACAAUCCCUGCCUCUGAAUCUGUUUCCGUGAAAUAGUCUUUGGCUGCAGUUCCGGAAAUCCUAAAAAGUUCAAAACCCACUGUGAGUGAUUUGUGGUCAGGAUUAUUCAAAGGUGCUACGAAGCAACUGCAGAAGAAAGGCACAACUUUUACCUUCCCAUCCGAUGAAGCUUAUGUGAAGAUUCUCAAAUAUGUAAUCGAAAAGAACAAAAAAUCCUGGGAAAGUUUCAUCUGUGGGCAAUUAUACACAGAUACGCCCUCCCAGAAAACUGUUCAUAACAUCGUGAAUGGAAUUUGGAGUAAGCAUUUCUGUGAUAUUACAGUAUCAAAGAUAGAGGGCAAUACCUACCUUUUUCAGGAUACCAAAUCCUUCCACUCGACAAUGGGUUUUAACUCAGAGAUUAUGGCAGAUAGAAGGUAAAACGAUGUUUGUCACGAAUUAGGAGUCUGGCUUUGUUCCAUUGAAGCCCGAGCUCUCGUUGUCCCCUAUUUUGCUGAACUAAGAAAUGUUCCUCUACAGUUCUUCAAUGAAGACGGCUUUGAACACAUUGCGGGAUUUGUUGGAGAGCCAAAAUGUCUCCAGCCUAUAACUGCAAACAAGACAAAUCUGUAAGUAACGAAGGUAUUCACGAUAACUGAUCCUCGUAAACCUCUUUCAGAAGUUGUCAAUAUCCAAUUUGAUUCUGGAGAGAUCAAUAGAGUUUUAGUGUCCAGUCUGUGGAUGCCACCACUGUUUUAGUUCUGUAAGAGGUGAAUCAUCAUCUGAGGCAGUGCAAUGAAGCUCCAAUCUUUUGCAAGAAGUGCAACUCAAAAAUUCACGUGGAAGAGAAUUAUGCAAGAACCGUCCUACCUGAACAAAAUAAUCCAAACUCCCAUAGAAACAGAGCCAAGGGAUUAGCUGGAAAUACUUAGAAGUGGGUUAAAGUUGCUGAGAAAUCAUCUGCCAAAUCUGUCAAGUUUACUGAGUCUUCACUGGGGAAAGAAAACAAAUCUUCAAAGGGAGAGUUCAGUGGCGCUGUGGUCUGGUACAUCUUCAAGGGAAGAUCGACGAAAAUGUUAAAGGUCCUCCUAUCCCUGACACAAAAAAAUCAUCAGGAGUGGAAUCAGAUUCUUCGGACGUUGCUUUUGUGGACUUCAGCAAUGUUGUAAACCUGCAGGGUGAGCAGAGUGAGUUCGCAGAGGUAGUUUCAAAAAAGAAGAAGAAGGAUAAGAGGGACAAGAGCCCCAACAAAAGCAGCUUAAUAAAUGGUUGAAGAAAAACAAACCGUUUUAUGAGAGUAUUAUAGAAACCCAUGUGAAACAGCCUAAAUGUAGGAAUUUCAUUAAUAGAUCGCUUCCCGGCUGGUCUUUUGAACAGAAUUAUGAUUUCUCCAUUUAACAAGUGUAAAGGCUGUUGUGGUGGCUAAGUCUUUGCAGAUGAUCACCUACAAAGUUAUGUUUCCUGAUGUGCAGCAGUGGGUUAUUUUGUCAGUGAUGUAUGUUUCUACAGUUGAGACUCUGAAAAAGGAUCUUUGGGCAGAGCUGAUUGUUUUGUCUUCAAGCCAGACUGUUGAAGAAAAAGAAUGGAUGGUCAUUGAGGAAUUUAAUCAAGUUCUCCAUCUACAUGAGCAUUCAAGAGCUAUUACUCUUAAUGUGGAUAGGAGGACAAGAGAAUUCAGGCAGUGUUUGUUGUCGGCUGAGGUGUCAGAUUUGAACUACUGAGGAAACACAUUUACUUGGUGGAAUAAAUGUAGUGCCAGGCCAACUGUGAAGAAGUUGGACCACAUUCUUGUAAAUGAGGUUUGAUCUACUUUUUUCCCCUCUUCAUAUGCAAUAUGUGGAGAGCAUGGUUUUUCAGACUAUGCUUCUUGUGUUGUCGUCUUGGAGUUGGGUUCUCAAAGGCAGAGGAGACCUUUUAAAUUCUACAAAUUUUGCCUCCAGAACCAAGACUUUUACCCUCUGGUUUGUGAACAUUGGUUCUCAUGUAACAUGGUGGAAUCAGCAAUGUUAUGUCUCUCAAGGAAGCUUAAGCUUCUGAAAAAUGUCAUAUGUAGAUUCAGUAGAGAUAAUUUCUAGGAUUCAGAGAAAAGAGUUAUUGAAGCUCAUGAGAAGCUUUUGCUUUGCCAGUCUUAGACUCUAACUGAUCUGUCUCGAACAAAUGCAAAACUGGCGUUUGAAGCACAAAGAAAGUGGCAGAUCCUGGCAAGUGCUGAAGAGUCCCUUUUCUGCCAGAGAUCAAGUGUAACCUGACUUAAAGAAGGUGAUUGUAACACUUCUUAUUAUCACAGAAUGACUGCAUCUAGGAAAGCCAUAAAUCACAUUCACUUCCUUAUUGCACCAGAUGGAGAACAUUUUGAAUAUCAAACAGGAGUUUAAGAGCAUUGUGUUGAUUAUUUCUCACACUUUAUGGGUUGUGAGGUUGGUCCCCAGAUGCUGAUCUAGUCGGAUAUGGAGCUCCUCCUUCCAUUUUGAUGCUCUCAGGCCCAAAAAGAGAGUAUGAUAAAGAGCUUCUCGAAGGAGGAAAUCAAACACCUGCUUUUCUCAUUGCCAAAAAACAAAACCAGUGGACCUAAUGGGUAUUCCGCUGAGUUUUUCACCUGUUACUGGAGUAUUGUAGGGCUGAGGUAUGUGAGGCAGUUGAAGAAUUCUUCCGAUUUGGAAAGCUGCUUCAGCAAUGGAACACUACAACUUUGAUCCUCAUUCUCAAUAUCACAAACGCCUCUUCAACAUCUGAUUUCAGGCCAAUAUCCUGUCUCAACACUAUUUACAAAGUCAUAUUCAAGUUAUUGGCAACCAGAUUUCAGAAGAUCCUGUCUCAGGUAAUAUAUCCCUCUUAAUAGGUUUUCAUGCCAGGUAGGCUGCUUGCAGAAAACGUUCUACUGGCUACGAAAAUUAUGCAUGGCUAUAACUGGAGGAACAUCGAUUCCAGAGCAAUGCUUAAGGUGGAUCUUAGAAAGGCAUUUGAUUCAGUAAGAUGGGACUUUGUCCUCUUGACCUUAAAAGCGUUGGAGUUAUCAGAAAUAUUUGUUAAAUGUAUCAGUCAGUGCAUCACAACUCCCUCGUUUACAAUUUCAGUUAAUGAUAUCACCAGAUGCUACUUCAAAAGCGCAAAAGGAUUAAGGCAAAAAGACCCUCUCUCUCCUUACCAUUUUUCCUUGCAACGGAGGCCUUCUCAGGAUUUUCCACUCUAGAUUUGAGGCUGGGUAUAUCCAUUACCAUCCCAAGACGGCAGAACGGAACAUAUCUCACCUGAUAUUUGCAGAGGACGUGAUGAUUUUUUUUAUGGUGGGAGUUCAUCGUUACACAGCAUAACUGAAGGAUUAGAAAACUUUGCGUCUUGGUCAGGAUUGCACAUGAACAGAGACAAGACUCAACUAUUUCAGGCAUGAGUAAACCACAUUGAAUCCACUGCAAUGGCAAGCUAUGAAUUCACUGUAGGUUCACUAUCAAUCCAAUACUUGGGUCUUCCCCUUAUGCAUCGUAAACUGAGACUCUCUAAGUAUGACCUCCUUUUGGAGAAGCUUGCUAAUAUAUUCAGAUCUUGGGCUGUUACAACCCUCUCAUUCCCAGGGAGAGCUCAGCUGAUUGCUUCAGUGAUAUUAGGAACCGUCAACUUCUAGAUUUCCACGUUUAUGCUCCCCAAAGGUUGUAUUAAAAAUUGAAUCUCUGUGUGCUAGGUUAUUGUGGUCUGGUAGUAUUGUGACAAGAUGAGGAGUAAAAGUAGCAUGGUUUACUGUGUGUUUGCCUAACUCUGAAGGAGGUCUGGGCCUGAGAAAAUUUUCUGUGUGGAACAAGACGCUAUGUCUGCGGUUCAUUUGGUUACUAUGCUCUGAAAGUGGAUAUCUCUAGGCUGAAUGGCAUAUCAGAGCUUCUGGUUGGUGGAGGCAUAUUCAGCUGAUUCAUGGACGUGGAAAUCUCUAUUGGAUCUUAGACCAUUGGCUGAAAUGCUCUUAGGAAAUCUGUUGGAAAUGGACGAAAAACAAAUUUUUGGUUGGAUUUUUGGACACCUCUUGGUCCACUAAUUAAACUUCUGGGUAAUGAUGGCCCGAGAAAUAUCAGGCUCCGUCUUUCUGCUAUAGUCGCAGAUACAUGCACAAUGGAGACUUGGAGAAUCCCAUCGCCAAGAUCUGUAGCACAGCUGAGUCUCCAUAUGCACCUAACGACUAUCAACUUACCUUCUUCCUCUCAGAUCGAAGAUGACUGUUUUUGGUUGGAAAAUGGUGUUAAGUGCAGCCAGUAUUCCUCCUCUAAGACUUAGGAUGAUCUAAGGCCACAACAAGGUGAAACAGUGGUCUAAGCUUGUAUGCUUUAAAGAUUGUGUUUCGAGGCAGGCUUUCAAUAUAUGGAUUGCACACUUGAAUAGGCUCCCCACUAGAGCCAGAAUAGCUUUUAGAGGAACAAAUAUAUUCACAGAUUGUUGUCUUUGUUCCAGAGACGAGGAAACGAGAGAUCAUUUGUUGUUCAGUUGUGCUUAUAGCUCGGAAAUCGGAAAUCUGGAGGCUGAUACUUACAAGGUUAGACCAUACCCAGAGUCUGUUCAUCUUGUGGUCGGAGUUGUUAUCAUGGAUAAGUAUGCGUUCUGAUGCUGCCCCUUAUACCUGAAAGGUGGUGGCUCAGGCUAUGGUUUACCACAUUUGGAUGUCAAAGAAACAAUUUGCUGCACAACUAAUAAAGGAUUCCUGCAUCCAGCAUUUUCAAGUCCAUUGAUCGUGUGACUCGAAACACCAUUACUACGAGAAGACAAAGACGUUGCUUUAGCAACUUUAAUGUCUCUUUGGCUUCAAUGAAACAAUAUAAAAUCUAAUUUACUGUGUAUUGUUCUCCUUGUUUUUUAUUUCUUUUUUGCCAAGGAAGUUUUGUAACAGGUUAGCAUCUUUUAUAACCUUCUUUUCAUUUUAAUGAUAUUAACAUUCAUAGCAAAAAAAAAAAAAAAAGAAAUGGUACUUGCAAUGUUUUACACCAUGUUUGUGUUUUAAAAAUAUUUCACACUACAUAUUCAAAGUUAUAAUGCAGGAUACAAUUUGUUUCUAGUCGAAAAGGUCAAAAAUAUCCAAAUUUUUUAUGUGGUGUUUUCAAGAAUUAUGCUUUUAAGAGAAUUUAAGAAAAUCGGACUAUUCUAUCGAGAUACUAUAACUUAUUCAACAGAAUAUCUAAAGCAUUUGUUCUGAAAGCAAGAAUUCUAGAUGCUCUUCUCCCCAUUUGUUUUUGGUCGAAUGCCACAAAAGAUGUUGAGAAUUAGGCACAAGAACCGGGUUCAAUAAGUUGACAAAUACCAAACCGAGGACCGACGUGGAAUCGUGGAGAAAAAGUUACAUUACAAUAAAGAUAAAUAAAGAAAAGGGAAGAUGACGUAAAGCUCAGAUUUGGAGCCUAACGAACUCCACGUCACCGCCUAAGUUCAUCCAUUGAAAUUUGACGGCGUCUUCUACUCUUCUAUCAUAACCCUUCGUUCUUUCAUGUGAACCACGUCACCGCCAUUCUCUUUUUUUUUUCUUUCUUAAUACAUUUCUCAAUAUGCGUCCAAUAUCAUAAAUAUAAUAUAUAUAUAUAUAUACAAUUUAACCUAUUAAGGCAUUGCAACUUGUAGUGAACUUUCAAAGGAACUUGCAUCCACAAAUUUAAACAUUUUUGCAUGUUGUAGAAUUGAACACGAAUAAUAAAGUGUGUAUUGAUGAUACACUUGUGUUACUUAUUUGACAAUUUAUUUGGUUUUCUUAGAAAAACUGAAACUGGCUUAUACAGUAUGUUUGUACACAUUUUUUGUAUUCGAAGAAAUUGGGGCAUCAUACAGUGACAUUGCUAUUAAUGUUUCUUCUAUAUCAAACCAAGUGAUAACAAAAUAUAAAAAGUAAUAAUGUUGACUUGUAAAUAAAGUAAGAAAAUUAAAUUCUGUCAUUUCAGAAGAGGAAGUAUGUCACAUGUAUAAUAGAUCAUCGAUACUUUUCAUGAGAACUUCCACAAGAAAGCCAUUGACUUCUUAUACCUUUCUCAAUUUUCCAGCUUGACCCAUUUUUUUCUUUUGAAGUUAUGAGAACUUUAUGUAUAAAAACAUUUUAGACUAGACCUCAAGAAAAUUCAGAUAUUUUUAUAAUUUGUGAAAAAAAUGUUGAAAUAAAUUGAUUGGAUUAUUUCUAUUACUAACGUUAAUCCAGUAUUAUGGUGGUCUAUAUUAUUAUUAUAGCCACCUAUACGGAAUGUUGAUGUGCCAAACAAUGGAGACACACAUUGUGUACUUGGAUUAAUGAAUAAAAUGACAUGUAUCAGUCUAUGGGACACAUAGUAAACUAGAUUAUUUCAUACCUAAAAUGCUAUAAUAUUUGAUUGAUAAAUGAUAAGAACAAAGAAAAGUUCUUGCAAGUUUGAAAAAAAAAAAGAGAAUAUCUUGACUCGUGCGGAUCUCAAACUUUUCUUUUCUAUCCUCUUCUCAAAUUAUAUUCCAAGUAAAACACGCAAUUACCAUAAGAGUUAAACAAUAUAAAAAGAGUUCUCAACUAAAUCUUCCAAAAGAGGCUUUCUCUUAUGGUUCACAUGUAAGUAUAUACUUUAAUUUACAUAAAAUUUAAUUUAACGAAUCCUAAUGAGCCUAUUUUCUGAACACGUACAAAUCAAUUUAAUGCAUAUCUUCACAUUUACACAAGAAUAAAGAAACUACACAUAUUUUUACUCCAUUGCUUCUGAAUUUAUAUAAUUCUUUCCAUUUAAUAUGAUUGAGUUUUUAUCCCUCUAACAAGGAAAAAUAUUAUAUAUAGAUACAAGGAAAGCCCAUUUCAUUAUCUAUCUUCUCUUUGAUUCAGCGAGCGAAAUAAAAACAAAAGGCCAAAAAUGGGUGCAGACGCAAUCCAAACGAACGGUCACGAUCCCGCCAAGUUAACCGCCGCGAGAGGGAUCCAACGGUUGAGAUGCGCCGUGAAGAACUACGAGUGGGGCAAACUCGGACCGGACUCACUUGUUGCGAGGCUCCACGAGGCGAAUUCAGGGGACCGAGUCGACCCGGUGGUUCCUCACGCCGAGUUGUGGAUGGGUACUCACGAGUCGGCACCGAGUUACGUUGUGAAGGAAGAAGAAUUCGGGUCGGGUCGUAAUGGAUCCGAAUGCAUGGUUACAUUGAAAUCAUGGGUUUUGGAUUAUCCGAAUUUACUCGGGUCUAGAGUCGUGGACAAAUGGGGUUGUGAUCUUCCUUUCCUCUUCAAGGUAUUAUAUUUUAAAAGUUUCCAAUUAAAACAUGUAUAUUCAAAACCUUCUUUCAAAAAAAAAAAAAAACAUGUAUAUUCAGAUUCUGUUUAUGGUAAAUCUUUUUGUUUUUCCAGUUUUGUCUCAUACAUAAUUGUUCAGGAACAAAAGUAUUAUUUAUUUGAUCCUAAGAUUCUCAUUUUGAAUAUUUUUGCUCUGUUUUGAGGAUUUUACUUUUUGACUCUGUUUUCUUAUAAAAUUUCUAAUUAAAAGUCAAAACAUAUAUAUAUAUAUAUAUAUAUAUGUAUUUUUUUGUAAUUUCAGAUUCUGUGAAUUGUCAAUUUCUCCACUUUUUAUAUUUACAUAUAUUAUAUAUACAGCCAAUUUGUCUUGUUAGAUACAUAUAUAUUUUGGCUCUGUUUUGAGGAUGAUACAUUUUAACUCUGUUUUCUCAAUUUAUAAAAAUGCAUUUCUUUUUCUCUGUGUGUUUUAAAUUUAAAACAUAAAGGUUUGAUUCUAAUGAAUAAGAGUUUGAUGUUGAAAUGUGCAAAAAAUAAAAACAGGUUUUGUCAGUGACGAAAGCAUUGUCGAUUCAAGCACAUCCAAACAAAGCCUUAGCAGAGAAAUUGCAUAGAGAAGAUCCUCUUCUUUACAGAGAUGCUAACCAUAAGCCUGAGAUUGCUCUCGCCAUUACUCCUUUUCAAGCUCUUUGUGGUUUCGUAUCUCUUAAUGUACUAGAUUCUUCACUUCUCUGCAAACAUCUAAUUUAGUCGGUUUUUGAUUUAGAUAACUUCGGUUAUUUUGCCUAUCACAUAUGCUAAAUCCAAAAUUGAACCGGUUCUGUACCACUUUUGAUAUCAAAUUCAGGAGCUGAAGGAAGCCAUCGCCAAUGUACCAGAAAUCACAGAGCUUGUCGGAAGUAAAGCAGCAGAUCAAAUCUUCAAAGUCAACGAACACGAUGGAGACGAAACAAGUGUUAAAUCCGUUGUCCGUUUGAUUUUCACGCAAUUGAUGUCUGCAAACAUCAAUGAUACAAAGCAAGUCAUAUCACAGAUGAAGAUUCGUCUGAUCUCAGAAACAAACCACCGUGAGUUAUCGGAGAAGGAGAAGUUAGUAUUGGAACUAGAGAAACAGUAUCCAGGUGACGUGGGCGUGAUCUCAGCAUUCUUCUUUAACCACGUCAAGCUUAAUCCCGGAGAGGCUUUGUAUCUUGACGCCAACGAGCCACACGCUUACAUUUCCGGCGACUGUGUUGAGUGUAUGGCGGCUUCAGACAACGUUGUUAGAGCUGGUCUCACUCCGAAACACCGCGAUGUUCAAACUCUGUGUUCUAUGCUGACCUACAAAUUGGUAACUUUCUUUACACGUUAACGUUUUUUUUGGUUUAGUUGGCUAGCAAAAUUUGGAUUGUACCCUAACCCUAACCAAAACCGAAAAUUUAUUUUUCUUUGUUUGGUUAUUGAUUAAUUGUACCGGAUUUGUUUCAGGGCUACCCGGAGAUUUUGAAAGGAUUUCCUCUGACUCCAUACAUUACGAGAUACCUUCCACCAUUUGAUGAGUUUGAAGUGGACCAUUGUGAUCUUCCUAGAGAGAAAUCCACUGUUUUUCCGGCCAUACCAGGGCCAUCGGUUUAUCUGGUUAUUGAAGGAAAAGGGACAUUGAAAACCGGUUCAUCUCAAUUGUUGGUUAAACGAGGAGAUGUUUUGUUUGUUCCGGCACAUAACGAGAUUCACGUAACCGGAGAAAGUGAUGUGAUGAAGCUUUACAGAGCUGGAGUCAGCAGCAGAUUCUUUCAAACAAUGUAGACUAAGUAAAGAUACAUAUAUAUAUAUUUAAUUUGUUAUCUAAAUGUAACCAUAGGGAUCAAGGCAUUGACGUGAUCAUAGUCAAUAUUGGUCCAUGUUCUUUAAUCCUACAAAUGUCCCAUUACGAAUCAAGGGUUCAAGGGGUUGUUUUUCUAUUAACUUUUGUUGUUUCUUCUACACCUUUAAAAUUGAAUUAUAUAUGUAAAAUGAUUAUAAAACAAUGUUUUUUUUUUUACUUUUUGCUAUUGUAGUGUAGUAACUAGUAAUUAUUCUUCCUUUACCUGUUUAAACUUUAAUUUCUAGAACUACUCUGCAAAAGCACAUUUGUUCAGUUGUAAUAUGUAGAGAUCGAACCACAGAGACGAGAAAUUCGCUCAAUAAACCUAAUAGACUCUAAUUGCGCUAAGAAGAAAUAAUGAAAUUGAGAGCAGCAAUGCAAUAAAAAACGGUUUUAAAUUCGAUGGGAAAGAAUUAGGCUCAGGGUGUUUCACAGAAAAUCAGAGAAUGCAGACAAAUCGAUUAGUCAUGAUUCAGAUUUAAGCGCAAUUCUUGAACUCAAAUCACGAAAUUAUAAUUAACUAACUUUUGUUGCGAAAAUUAUUUAAAUCUAAAUCCCAGAAUCCCAAUUUUCUUUGCAAUCCUAAAGAUAUAAAUUAGCCUUAAGUGCAGGUUCGAUAUGUUCACAAAGUGUCUAAACCAAUUUUUUUUGUGGAUAGCUACUUUGCUCAUCCUAGGUUCUUUCGGAUUAUUCAAUUACAGUUUCGUGUCAAUCAAUUAACCUAAGAUCUAAGUUCUAGGUGAUCAGUCCAAAAUUAGCUUUAAGAAUAAUCUAUGGUGAAUUACUAAUCAGAUUAUGACCCCUAACUAAUUAAUUAUCUAAAAUUCAAAGGGAUCCCUUAUGAGAACCCUAAACCUAACAAACAAACUACUCAAAUAUGGAGAUUGAAUCAAUAAACAUGAAUGAAUAGAUUGCAGAAAGCAGUAAAAAGAUUAAUAAACAGAGGUUCAAAAUCUUCUCUCAAACAAACAGAGUCUCAGACUUGUCUCCCUAAAAGCUCUCUCAAGAUCAAUAGAAAUCAAAAGUCUCAAAGAAAAUCUAGAGUGUAGCCAAAACACGUGGCUGAAAACCCUAUCAAAAGCUAAAACACAUGUUGGACUUCCCUGUAAAUAUUGGAGACUUCUGGGCUCAAGAGAUUCUUUAAAACUUAGACAAAAUCACGUUUUUCCUUAUUCACGACAUUGGUGUCGAGCAACACCAAAACAUAUAAAUCAUCUUUCACGAAUUUGAUCCCUGCUUAGUUCCAAAAUGCUCUAAAAUCUCCAAUUAAACUCCAAAUACAUUUAAGACCUGAAAAGACUCCAAAAAAUUAAAAAAACACUAAAGAGACUCUAUAAAUAAAACCUAUCAUGAUCAAAAACCAUAAAAAAAAACCAUGAUAUAUCAUUCUCCAUGAUAAGCAUUUUUCGAAUGGUCUGAGUCGAACAAAACAAUGUUCUCUAAAGUAUAAGGCCAAUUCUUUUUGCCUCCCUCGUCACUUACCUUUUGUUUGUGGCUUCCAUGGCAUAGACUAGAGAGAUGACCCCGAGAAGACCUAAUCUAGCACGCAUUUGUUUGGAUGUUGCUAAUGUUCCGUUUUAAAGUACAUAUGCAAAGAUCGUGGAAAGUAAAACGAACUCAAUCUUAAGUCUUGAGACAAUGAUUUUUGCCAAUUUUCCGGUAAGCUUUCCCGGUGAAAUCUUUCACUGGAAUGACCUGAUUAUGGAUGCGCUGGAAACUUGAGUACUAUAACGUGAUAUACUUAUAUGUCAAAAUCGAAUUUAAACUGAAUGAGAAAUGAGGAUUCUUAGAGAGUAUAGCUUGAAAGCUUAAAAAUAACAUAAGUUACCAAAUGACAAGUGUGAUUUGUCCCACAUUAGCAAUUCAACGUUACAUUUUGAACGUAGUGUUACGUUCUCCCCUUGAUAAUACUCAAUAGAUCUGCUUCUAGCCUGUCCCAACAAUCUGAUUCGGAUUGAGAAUUGCGGUUUUUGCGAACGUUGUUAAAGAUUUCCAAAAAAAAAAAUAUUUCAUUACGGCUUUUCACAUCAAAUCGGAAAAACUCUGCUUAGUUUUAACUUUUUAGGGAAUUUGAUAAAUAUUUGACAAACUUUGUGAAAAUAACUUUUGGAGUAGCAAAAUUCCGCAAAAAAAAAAAAAAAACUCAGAGUAAACUUACUGACAAAAGAAAAAAGUUUCCUCAAGUUGGUUUAGUCGCAUUCCUUUUGUCAAGCACUUAAUCCACUACAAAGACGUUUUGUUGUAAUUUAACCGAACUGAACAAUCAUUCCAAAUCUUAAUAAGCAGCUAAAGAGAGACAUUGAGAGACCAAGAUAAACCGGUUUACUUGCACCUACUUGCUGUUUGUUAAAGCUUUGGUUACAAAAUGUGAAACGAUUCCAACCGGACAGAAGAGAAGGCACAAUGAAACCGAAUGCCUCGUCUCAAUCUUAUUCUCUAGCCCAUCAUUAAAAACUUGCCUGCAGAGAAACACUCAAAACAUGAGUUAUAAGAAACAUGCUAGGAUCAAUCAGAACCUGAAAAGUGCAAUAUAGUACCUUGCAGCGAAAAGAUCUAUAACAAGAAGAUGAAUCCAAGCAGAAGCAAGAGUCAUUUCACUUGAGAACAUUUUCGCUAUUCCAGACAACUGCAAAUGAAAAAAAAAAAAAGAAAUUUUAGAAACUGGAAUGUACACAUUUUCUUGUUUUCGAUAUUUCCUGAUAAUUGGAGGAAAAAGCUAAAACCUCUGGCAACAUGUAUUUACUGGAAAACAUGUAUUUGAGAGUAUCAGGCGUCCAAGAAAGGUAUAACAAAUACGCGUAUAAUACGCCUAAGACGAUAUACGGUAUGCUACUCUCCAUACACUUUUUGGUCUGCACAAGGAGAAAACAUACACUCAAUUCAAUAUGAACUUUUUUGAUUCUGCACAAGAAGUUGUAAAACUGCUAAACAAAAACUCACAAUUUCAGCUUUUGGAGCUACAACCAUUAGAGUGUAAAAGGGUAAAACAGCGGUUGUUCCAACCGCAAAUACACUGCUUGCAAUCUGAGAAGUAGCUAUCCCUGCACAAGAACAUGUUAUGUCUCUGUCCUACUUUCAAUUUAAACAUUGAAGAGCUAUAGAUUCUAGACAUAUAUCAAGCCUCUUUUUGGUUUAUAAUGUUUCAGUUAAGAGACAUUACAUGAAGCUCGUACACCAGAGGAUUUCUUUUGAACAAGAGAGGACGAGUUCGAUGAAACAUUAGGGAAAAGUGCGAUUUUUGAUCCUCCGAUAAAGCUCCAACGAUUCUGAAGUCGAAUACUUGACGAACCAACGCAUAGUUUAGACUUGACAUUGCUGAGAGAAAGACUUGUUAUCGAGCUCUUAGCUGAAAUGUUGCGAUUCAUCAUCUGAAUCACCAAACAAAAUGAAUCAAUCUGAUGAAAUAUAAAAAACUUCUUUAUUUCUUAAAAUUUAGGAAUCUGAGACCAAAAGCACUUUGAUCUGAACAACAACGAAUCAGGAACAGAGUUAGGUUCUGUAACAGGGACCCAUGAGGAGUAAAUUCAACUUCUUUAAUGUCUGCGUCAAUUCGAUCUGAUUCAAAGGAUAAAACUUUAAGGUUACCCAUAAGGAAUCUGAACUAUUCGAAAUUGUAGAAAGCUCGACAUAAGAAUCUAAUCCGACAAUCUCCAACAACUGUACAUACAUACAUACAUACAUACAUACAUGAUACAUACAUACAUACAUACACACACAUAGAUAUAGACAUAUAUCUGCGUAUACCGAAAAUUGGAGAAGAAUUGAAAAAGGAAGAGAAAAGGUAGAUACCGAGAGAGAUGAAGAAGACAAAGGCUGGGAAAUGCAAGAAGAUAAAGCCAUCUGCGAUUCAAAUCUUCAAUAGUCUUUGCCAGAAUUUGGCCAUUCAUUACCUUCUUCAACGAGCUCUCUCCAUAUAUAUAUGUAAAGUAUCAAUUUUUAGAGAGGAGAGUUGAGAGUUUUCCACUGGUUGAAAAGGGUAAGUGGAGAAGAAGCUAAGAGAAAAAGUGCUCACUCACUCUUUCUUCAUCAGUGUGGACAAUUAUAGUUGCUCAUCCACCCGAAUUUUUUAAAAAAGUUUUGGUCUUUUUUAGUUUUCCUCGUUUACUUCUGUUUCGCAUAAACAAAAAAAAAAGAAAAAACCAUUAUGAGUUUGAGUUAAUUUUAAAGAGAAAAUCAAAUUUAAAGAUUCUUUAUAUUGUAUGUUCAAAAUUGCAAUAUAUUAUGGAAAAAAAGAGAAGAUUUUUUCCUAAUUUUAGAUAAAAACCUUUAAUAAAAAUCAAAAAAUUAUUAAGAUAUUAAUUUAACCUUAUAUUUUAGAUAUUGUUCUUUUUCUGGUCAAUAUAAAAAAUUACAGUUUACCAUUCUUAUAUAAAAAAAAAUUAAUUAGACUCAAAUGGAAUGUUUUUAUUUUUUUAACAAGAAUAUAACUUUCAUAGAACCUAAUACCCAAAAAAAAAACAUUUGACCCGACUAAAUUAAAAUUCAAGGAAAGAUUGGAGCUUUGAUCCUUUACUCGAUAAAAAAAAGGUUCUUCAUUGUAUGAUCAAAUGACUUGUCGGAUUGUAUUUGUAGGUGGCUCAUCGUAGGAUUAAUAGCUUCUCGGAUUUUGUUAUCCUUGUCUUGUGUUUUGCUUUUUCCGUGAAGAUCAAAAUUUUCUUCUAUACAUUCCUGCUAUAUAUUCCAUCAUGUUCUACCGGUUACACUUAUAAGCCUAUAAGGAUAUCUAAUCUACUUUUUUAUUUGAUAAAAACCUAAUAUCUUUGUUAAUGGAUAUUUGUGCUUAAACUGAAUUUAGACACAACACAGGUCUAGUUCAGGACAGAACAAGACAAAAGUGACAGUGCUACUUCUACUCAGCAGUGGUUGUGACUUCCUCUAAAGACAAAAGUUGGUGUUUCCACCAUUAUUUCGGUUUUGCUUUUAUUAUAUAUUUUAUUUUAAUUUAUUUUUCGCUACAUGAGAAUUGCAUUAACGAAGGACAUUAUAUAUGAAAACAAAAAAAAACAAUAAAAAGAUAUACAUACAUGUGUCUGACACUCAUUGUUUGUGAAAUCAGUUGGGAGUAAGAUAGCGCUUGAGUGGGCUAUUUGGUAUGAUAGCUUCUCUCUAUUGAUGGGCCUUAUUGACCCACCCCACUUCAGUUUUGUUUAGUCAUUCACAACAAGAAAAACAUGAAAACAAAAGCAACACUUGUCUUUUCUAUCUCUCAAUCUGUAAGUGGUAUAUGCGCAUUUCGUUGAAUUCGAUUGAGACCAAAACUCUUUUAAAACAUAAUGUAUAGUUCUUAGGAUUAUAUGGGGAAAAUAUAUGAUGUCUCAAAGAUUUUUCAUAACAUAUUAUAUUCCUUAUAAUAAAAGGUCACCUGGGGUUUUUCUAUAAACCGGGGUUUUUUUAUAAACCGCCGGCUUUUCUAUAAACCGCCGGCUUUGUCUCUGGAGAUGUUGUAUCAUCUGCCGGCUUUGUGUAAUCCGUUGGCUUUGCUCUGUAACACUAUGGUGAUCAAUAUAAUAAUAUUCAAUGAAAAAAAAAAAAGGUCACCUAAAUAAUUAAAAAUUUGAAUUUUUACGACUCAUAUUUCUAUCCUAUUCCAAAGCUAGGAAAACAACAUAAAGAGUUACAAAUUCUUACUAUAUAGUACUUCCAACAAUAUCUUUAUGUAAAUUUGUGCCAAGUCAUUUUGAGUGGAAAAUGUAGAAUAUAUGAUCCACAAGAUCCUUGAAUAUACUUGGGUAUAUAGAAAUAAAAAUGAAUAUCCGAGACUCUUAUCUACAAGCCUAUCCUUAAGAAGGCACGUCCACGAAUGUUUCUAUCACAGAUUUUCAGUGGGCCAUCAUCUAUUACUUCAAGAUAUUGUUCUAAAAAUGCAUCUCAACCUCAAGCUUACUAAUCAUGUGACAAAAGUGAUAAUGUGAAUCUAGUUUUUCAAAUAAUUUCUUUAUUCAAUGACGACUAAUCAAAGAGUUGGUAUAUUUUUGUAUUCACAGUUCUUCAACUUUGUAUAUUUUCAUAUCUUGAGCCGCAUUGUAAUUUGUUUUUUCUUAUAUGCAAAAUUCAAAAUCAAAGAUUUAUAGAACAUUACAUAUUUAUUUCAUCAGACAUUUGAGAAUCCGAUAGAAAAUGUCUCGCAAACCGGAAAACAAACGUUAAAUCCGGAAAUUAAAACAAAACUAAGGAAACCAAAAAAAAAAAAGCAGAUGAUAAAAUCAAAGGUGAGGAGGGAGAUAAAGUUUUUUUUUUUUGAUGUUUACACAAAGCAAAGAAGCAGUGAAAUUAAGCAUCGGUGAAGCUUGCUGGCUUGUAGGCGAUGAAACUGAUGCACUGGACUUGACGGGUGUUGUCGAAUCCGAUGAUCCUAAUGAAGGCCUGGGGGUACUCCUUCUUGCACUCUUGCACUUCCUUCAACACUUGAGCUGAGUCAGUGCAUCCGAACAAAGGAAGCUUCCACAUUGUCCAGUACCGUCCAUCGUAGUAUCCGGGAGUGCUUCCGUGCUCACGGUGCACAAAUGCGUUCUACAAAAACACAUUACACAAAACCAUUCAAAAACAUAAAUCAAGAUUCUGCUUAGGACCUCUAAAUAGUUAUUAACUUGAUUGCAAGAUUCAUAUGGUCCAAGAGAUCAAGCUACUCUAUAAAUGAUUUUUAUUACCUCCAACUCGAAUUCAACACAGGGAAUCCACUUGUUGCGGAGAAGGUAGUCAACUUCCUUAGCCAAUUCAACUUCGGUUAGGUCAGGAAGGUAAGAGAGAGUCUCAAACUUCUUCUUACCAAUAGGAGGCCACACCUAUUUUUUGCCAUUUUUCCAAAAUCAACAAAAACAAUAUUAGUUUAUAUGAUUCGAUAAAUCAAAAACCCAUAAAUUUGUUUUUGGUAUAAGAGAUUUGACCUGCAUGCAGUUAACUCUUCCGCCGUUGCUUGCGAUGGAAGUAAUGUCGUUGUUGGCCUUACGGGUCACAGGGAAAGCAGCGGAGGACUUAAGUCCGGUGAAAGGUGCGACCAUUGUGGCCUGAGCCGGAGAAGCGACCAUUGUAGCGGAAGAGAGCAUAGAGGAAGCCAUAUUGCCUUUACUCUUUUUGUGUGUGACUUAGGUUUGGUCUAGUGCUUUGGUCAUCUAUAUAUAAUGGUAACAACAAUGAUAACAAGGUGAGGGAGUGAUCGGAGGGCUCA